UACAGAGGUCCCAAGCGUUGUUCGGAUUCACUGGGCGUAAAGGGUGCGUAGGUGGCUUGGUAAGUUUGAUGUGAAAUCUCCGGGCUUAACCCGGAAAUGGCAUUGAAUACUAUUGAGCUGGAGGUUUGGAGGGGGGACUGGAAUUCUCGGUGUAGCAGUGAAAUGCGUAGAUAUCGAGAGGAACACCAGUGGCGAAGGCGGGUCUCUGGACAGUUCCUGACGCUGAGGCAAGAAGGCCAGGGGAGCAAACGGG
RNAcentral lists this ribosomal RNA (253 nucleotides) under uncultured bacterium. RNAcentral's name for it is "partial 16S ribosomal RNA". It matches the Rfam family "Bacterial small subunit ribosomal RNA", at positions 524 to 776 of the family's 1533-position model. The record is from RNAcentral.